CCUACGGGGUGCAGCAGUGGGGAAUAUUGCGCAAUGGGCGAAAGCCUGACGCAGCGACGCCGCGUGAAGGAAGAAGGCUUUCGGGUUGUAAACUUCUUUUGUCAGGGAAGAGUAGAAGACGGUACCUGACGAAUAAGCCACGGCUAACUACGUGCGAGCAGCCGCGGUAAUACGUAGGUGGCAAGCGUUGUCCGGAUUUACUGGGUGUAAAGGGCGUGUAGCCGGGUUGACAAGUCAGAUGUGAAAUCCUGCGGCUUAACCGCAGAACUGCAUUUGAAACUGUUGAUCUUGAGUACUGGAGAGGCAGAUGGAAUUCCUAGUGUAGCGGUGAAAUGCGUAGAUAUUAGGAGGAACACCAGUGGCGAAGGCGGUCUGCUGGACAGCAACUGACGGUGAGGCGCGAAAGCGUGGGGAGCAAACAGGAUUAGAUACCCUUGUAGUC
Molecule: ribosomal RNA, 442 nt
Filed under: uncultured bacterium
Lineage: Bacteria
Description: partial 16S ribosomal RNA
Rfam family: Bacterial small subunit ribosomal RNA
Source: RNAcentral